RNAcentral lists this ribosomal RNA (252 nucleotides) under uncultured bacterium. RNAcentral describes it as "partial 16S ribosomal RNA". It matches the Rfam family "Bacterial small subunit ribosomal RNA", at positions 524 to 776 of the family's 1533-position model. The record is from RNAcentral.
UACGGAGGAUGCGAGCGUUAUCCGGAUUUAUUGGGUUUAAAGGGUGCGUAGGCGGGCUGUUAAGUCAGCGGUAAAAGCCCGGGGCUCAACCCCGGCGAGCCGUUGAAACUGGCUGUCUUGAGAUGUCGAGAGGUAUGCGGAAUGCGCAGUGUAGCGGUGAAAUGCUUAGAUAUUGCGCAGAACUCCGAUUGCGAAGGCAGCAUACCGGCGGCGACCUGACGCUGAGGCACGAAAGCGUGGGUAUCGAACAGG